CCUACGGGAGGCAGCAGUGAGGAAUAUUGGUCAAUGGACGAGAGUCUGAACCAGCCAAGUAGCGUGAAGGAUGACGGCCCUAUGGGUUGUAAACUUCUUUUAUAUGGGAAUAAAAUGUUCCACGUGUGGGAUUUUGUAUGUACCAUAUGAAUAAGGAUCGGCUAACUCCGUGCCAGCCGCCGCGGUAAUACGGAGGAUCCGAGCGUUAUCCGGAUUUAUUGGGGUUACAGGGAUCGUAGGUGGAUUGUUAAGUCAGUUGUGAUAGUUUGCGGCUCAACCUUAAAAUUGCAGUUGAAACUGGCAGUCUUGAGUACAGUAGAGGUGGGCGGAAUUCGUGGUGUAGCGGUGAAAUGCUUAGAUAUCACGAAGAACUCCGAUUGCGAAGGCAGCUCACUGGACUGAAACUGACACUGAGGCUCGAAAGUGUGGGUAUCAAACAGGAUUAGAUACCCUUGUAGUC
Molecule: ribosomal RNA, 460 nt
Filed under: uncultured bacterium
Lineage: Bacteria
Description: partial 16S ribosomal RNA
Rfam family: Bacterial small subunit ribosomal RNA
Source: RNAcentral